Molecule: ribosomal RNA, 891 nt
Filed under: Triticum aestivum (bread wheat)
Lineage: Eukaryota; Viridiplantae; Streptophyta; Magnoliopsida; Poales; Poaceae
Description: partial small subunit ribosomal RNA
Source: RNAcentral
AUGGCCAACCGAGCCGUCCAGUACGCCAUGGUGGAUGCCUUCACUGGCGAGCCGUUCAAGGGCAACCCGGCGGCGGUGUGCCUCCUGGAUGACGAAGCCGCGGCCGAUGACGACCGGUGGCUUCAGUCUGUCGCCGCGGAGUUCAACGUCUCCCAGACGGCCUUCCUCUCCCGCCGCGACGGCGGCUCCAGCUCGUUCACCCCGCGGUUCCGCCUCCGCUAGUUCAGCCCCGCCACCGAGGUCCCGCUGUGCGGGCACGGGACACUGGCGUCCGCCCACCUCCUCUUCACCGCCGUCCUCGCUUAGCAGCACGACGUGAUCGAGUUCGUGACCGAGUCCGGGGUCCUGACCGCCCGGAAGGUUCCCGUUGCAAGUUCGCGGCCGCGGGAGGAGCAGGGGAAACCGUUCAUCGAGCUGGAUUUCCCUACGAGCGAUGUUCUCGUGGACUGCAGCUCCAGCCACGAGCUGCCGUCCAUAUUCCUGAAGGCCGCGCCCGUCGUCGGAGUUCAUCGAGCGGCAAUCACCGACGACUUCAUUGUAGAACUUUCAUCGGGAGAAGAGGUUGCUGAUGUCCUUCCUAACUUGGAACAACUUAAAAAGUGUGCUGGCAGAGGUGUUAUUGUUACAGGACAGGCGCCACCUGGAUGUGGUUAUGACUUCUUCUCACGUUUCUUCGCCCCGAAAAAAGGGGUAGACGAGGACCCUGUUUGUGGCAGUGCACACUGUGCUCUAGCACCAUACUGGGCCCGAAAACUGGGCAAACAAAGACUGACGACGUUUUAAGUAUCUAAAAGGACCGGAACACUUUAUCUGGAGUUGGAUGCUGCAAAUCGGAGGGUAAAAAUUCAAGGACAAGCCGUUACUGUGAUGGUUGGAACACUCCUAGCUUAG